GUUGUUGUAGCUUAAGGAGAGUGUGGCUGUGAAGAUGCUGAGGUAUUUUUUUCAACGAUU
This 60-nucleotide transfer RNA is filed under the name Pseudocellus gertschi. Its description in RNAcentral is "tRNA-Phe". The record is from RNAcentral. Lineage: Eukaryota; Metazoa; Arthropoda; Arachnida; Ricinulei; Ricinoididae.